This 285-nucleotide long non-coding RNA is filed under the name Capra hircus (goat). RNAcentral's name for it is "lncRNA (ENSCHIG00000005147.1)". Lineage: Eukaryota; Metazoa; Chordata; Mammalia; Artiodactyla; Bovidae. The record is from RNAcentral.
ACCAGCUCCCUUCUCACUCCCUAUCAACUUCCAACACAUCACCCUGGAUUCUGACAUCCAUAUGACAAGGGAUGACACAAUCUGAUUAGGGAUAAGAGGUCAGGAGGGAAAGAGAGGACAGCACCAACAAGCUAACACACAGUCUGAACUUGUUCGGUCCAAGAGAGCUGUGCAGGCGUGGUCAGGGACACAGGAUGCUCAGAAGACCAAGAGGGGGUUUCCUUGCUUCAUCUUAAGAACAAGCCACCAAGCCUUGAUGUUCCAGGAUGGUGCGCCCUCAUAUAC